This is a long non-coding RNA of Scylla paramamosain (green mud crab), 827 nucleotides long. RefSeq lists it as uncharacterized. NCBI's taxonomy places the organism in Eukaryota, Metazoa, Arthropoda, Malacostraca, Decapoda, Portunidae. The transcript is spliced from 2 exons. The record is from RefSeq and is a predicted model, not a curated record.
AGAGAGAGAGAGAGAGAGAGAGAGAGAGAGAGAGAGAGAGAGAGAGAGAGAGAGAGAUUGCAUUAGAGCUACCGAAUAAUUUUUGGUUACCUGUCGUAGCAUUACAUGAUUAUUAUGGACAUUAACCUCUGCAAAUUUCUAUAUUCUUUUAUUUGUUUAUCUAUUUAUUUAUUAGUUUGUUCAUUUAUUCAUGUAGCCAUUAUCUAAAACAGCCUACGUAACGUAAUUUUACCCAGUACCUUUAUGAACUUCUUGCUUUUAUCAUGAUGUACGUAACUGGUUAUAGUCUGAUGAGCAGAUAUCAACCAACUGCGUCUGUUUGAAGAUUAGGAAGAAAUAAGAGUUGCCUCUCAAAUAAUUGUGAGGAGUCAGGCGGAGCUAGACGCUCAGCUGCUUAGCGUGGGGUUUGAUGGAAAGUGCUUUGGAACGAGGAAGAUUUUUACGCGGAACACGGACACUUGAGGCGUUGUUUUAGAGGUCUGGAUUGUAUGGCUUUGUCAGCAUAGCAGGAGUUUCACGGUGAUGCUUAAGGACCGUAGCCGCAGUCGUCUUCACCAGUGUGUGCCUGUCUACUGGAGGAGUGGUGUAGUGUAUGGCCAUCCUGAGUCCUAUCAGUCUGUGGUGACAAGAGGGAGACGCCUGUCAUCACUCAACAAGGGAAAAAGAAGCGUUCGUGUGAACGAGGGUUAUCCAUGAUCUCCCUCAACUGGAAAUUUUGAGGUAUAUAAGUUUCAUUUAGUUAUUUCUUCUUUUUUUUUUUUUUUGGUUGUGAGUUUACACGAGUUGUGUAUUGAUUUAUUUUGAUAUCCAUUAAAGUGUUAUUUGUA